This is a non-coding RNA of Xyrichtys novacula (pearly razorfish), 5011 nucleotides long. Lineage: Eukaryota; Metazoa; Chordata; Actinopteri; Labriformes; Labridae. The record is from the annotation of a GenBank genome assembly.
UUGAGAUUUUCCUGAAGGCAAGUGGAACCUUAAUUCACCGAGGAACCUUUAUUUUGAAAUGUCCAUCUCAACAAGCGGAAGUCGUUUUUUCCUCACCCCGACCGGAUGACUCACUUCACUAAUGGGGUAGAGUGCUGGAAUAGAUUGAAAGCCUUGUCUGACCCACACUCCAGGACAGGUGGCGGUAAUGCGACAAAGCUGGUUGCCAACCGCCAUAAAACAGAAAUAAGAAGAAGAAGAGUCACUUCACUGCAUCGUCUGAAGUUAUAGUAGUCACAGCGUACAGGGUGGGUGGAAGGAGAGGUGAUUUAAUCGAUUCUGCGAUCCAGUGUACUCACAGAACAAGGCUAGUUCCGUUGGACUGUUGAGGUUGAGCUAUAUUUCAAGGGGUGAUGUAAUAUUUUUCCUUUGACACUUAAGGGACGAUGUCACGGAAAGACGGCAAAGGAGCUGAGGAUGACAUGUUAAAUUCGGUAAGUUUGUUUAACAUGACCUCGGCAUUUUUUAAUCCGCGUUUUAUAACUCCUUUCUUUCCCCUUAGAUGGAGAAAACGAUGCAACAACUUCAAGACAGAUUUCAGACUGUCUCCGAGCAAAUCGAGAAAAAGAAUAUCCUUUCUGAGUGAACGACCCAAAUGUAACUUACUAUACUCCUUGACUUUGGCUUUCAGCUUCACUUUUGGCAGCUUGGUUAAAAAUCACAGCAUUGGGCAGAAUUGCUUAAAUGUGUAUUGAGCUUGCAGCGUUAAGUCAAACAUAACAAACUUAAGGCAUGUCUCGACAUCCAAACACUUGACCGUAGAACGUGAUCAGCCUGCAGUCUUUGUGCAAUAUGCAACAAAUCUUAAAGUAAAGCAGUAUGAUGAUUUUUAAGUGAAGACAUACUACAUUAAUUAAAAAUUAAGACAAAGACUUCGUAAAUUAAAAACAACUGACUUUCAAAAGCAAAGAAAAUACCUGGCAACAAAAGAAAGUAGCCUAAUUAUAGUUUGGUUUUAAGUUAAAAGUAGUAGCUAUAAAUUUGAUGUUUUUUUUUUUGUUUUGUUUUGUUGUUUUUUGUUUUUUUCCGGUUCCUGCCUGUAGACUUUUUCCUUAACUUUGGCACUGUUUGAAAUGGGAACCCGCAUCGAUGAACUGGAGAAGAACAUAGCUGAGCUCAUGGAACAGGCUGGCACAGAGGAGUAGGCCUUGUUUGGAGUCACAGCAAGUAUGUGGUUAUCUGUGGAAUGACUUCUUGUGGUGGACUUACAGAUACUGAAGUUUGCUGUUGUGCCUAUGAUGAUGAAACUCCUAGGCAUCUACAAAGCUCCACACAUAUCAAAAACUCUCAAAGUGAACUUUGUGUGCUUGUAACCCUAACCCUUUACACCAGUUAAUAGCCAUUUUAAAGCAAGAGAAAAAUAAUAUUGUCUUGUUCCAUGAGAUCCAAAUACAAAACCCUAUUUCAUUGAAGUUGGGAAAUUGUGAUUAAUGUAAAUAAAAACAGAAUACAAUGAUUUGCAAAUUCUUCUUAACCUAUAUUCAACUGAAUACACUACAAAAACAAGAUGUUCAAUAUUCAAAAUCAUGAACUUUAAAUUUGAGGAAUGCUCAUCAAACACCUAUUUGGAACAUCCCACAGGUGAGCAGGCUAAUUGGGAACAGGUGAGCAGGCUAAUUAGGAACAGGUGGGUGCCAUGAUUGGGUAUAAAAGCAGCUUCCCCAAAAAUUCUCAGUCAUUCACAAGCAAGGAUGGGCCGAGGUUAACCACUUUGUGAACGACUGUAUGAGCAAAUAGUCAAACAGUUUAAGAACAAUGUUUCUCAAAGUACAAUUGCAAGGAAUUUAGGGAUUUCAGCAUCUACGGCCCAUAAUAUCAUCAAAAGGUUCAGAGAAUCUGGAGAAAUCACUGCACGUAAGCGGCACGGCCAGAAACCAACAUUAAAUGCCCAUGACCUGCGAUCCCUCAGGCGGCACUGUAUCAAAAACCAACAUCAAUGUGUAAAGGAUAUCACCACAUGGGCUCAGGAACACUUCAGAAAACCACUGUCAGUAAAUACAGUUUGUCGCUACAUCUGAAAGUUCAAGUUAAAACUCUACUAUUGCAAAGCCAAAGCCAUUUAUCAACAACAUCCAGAAACGCUGCCAGCUUCUCUGGGCCCGAGCUCAUCUAAGAUGGACUGAUGCAAAGUGGAAAAAGUGUUCUGUGGUCUGACGAGUCCACAUUUUAAAUUGUUUUUGGGAAUAGUGGAUGUUGUGAAGGCAACAUUAAUGCUGAAAGGUACACACAGGUUUUGGAGCAACAUAUGCUGCCAUCCAAGCAACGUCUUUUUCAUCGACGCCCCUGCUUAUUUCAGCAAGACAAUGCCAAGCCACAUUCUGCACGUGUUAAAACAGCGUGGCUUCGUAGUAAAAAAGUGCGGGUACUCGACUGGCCUGCCUGCAGUCCAGACCUGUCUCCCAUUGAAAAUGUGUGGCGCAUUAUGAAGCGUAAAAUAUGACAAUGGAGACCAUGGACUGUUGAACAACUGAAGCUGUACAUCAAGCAAGAAUGGAAAAGAAUUCCACCUUCAAAGCUUCAACAAUUAGUCUCCUCAAUUGCCAAAUGUUUAUUGAGUGUUGUUAAAAGGAAAGGUGAUGUAACACAGAGGUAAACAUGCCCCUGUCCCAACUACUUUGGCACGUGUUGCAGGCAUGAAUUUCUGAGUUAUUUAGUAUUUGCAAAAAAAAUAAAAAUAAAGUUUAUAAGUUUGAACAUUAAAUAUCUUGUCUUUGUGGUGUAUUCAAUUGAAUAUAGGUAAAAAAAAAAAGAUUUGCAAAUCAUUGUAUUCUGUUUUUAUUUACGUUUAUCACAAUUUCCCCAACUUCAAUGGAAUUGGGUUUUGUAACCCCCCCCCCCCCCAAAUAUUCUCUGAUAGUAAACCAUUGCUGUAUCACUGGUUGAAGAGCUUUGUUAUGUUUUGUUAACUAAUAUUUUCUUUUUUUAUCUAUUACCUCAAAUAAUGAGGUACUUUUGGGUUUCCUAAAUAUCCAAUUAGAGUGUUGAUGACAGGGGUCUUAUAGGGUAUAGCACAACAAUUAUUCAUGCAUGCACAAGCUGUAGUUGUAUACAGGAGAAGUUUAAGAUUUGUCACCUAAUAAAAAAAUGAGGGAUUUUAUCUGUGCAGUCAGUCUGGCCAUUGACAAUGAAGACAAAAAGACUGGACAAUAAUAUCACUAUAACUGUUCCAAGGUAUAGCUACUCUCUAAUGCUAAAGCCAAGGCGCAUAUAAAGGGUAUUUUUGUUUUCUAAUGAAAAAUGUUACAUAUAGCACAUUUUUUAUCUUGUUUUUAUCUGUUCUUAUUACAUCAUAUUGUUUCUUCAAACGAGUGCACAUUGCCAGGGUGCAAAAAAGGCAGUUAUAUCACCUAAAAUGCACUAAGAGGGAUCUUAGAAUGACUGUUAAAAGAAAUCGAACACAAAAUCACCAAAGCCAUUUAAAUAAAAGAACUGUUUUAAGUAAUUUAAGAUCUCUUCUUUACACCAGAGUAGCCUAACAAUGUCCCCAUUUUAUGCAGUGAAUCACAGUGGCAGUGAUUUAUGAAAGCAGUUUUGGGUUAGCCAACCAUUUGUUCUGUUUGAUUAUAUACUGUUAAUGCAAAUAAUCCCUGAAAUUAGGAUCAUAUCUGACAAGUAUGCAAUGUAAUGUGUAACUGUAAUUUAGAUCUUGUCAUUCUUUGUACGGUAACCUUUUGUAAAACAUUCUUGAUGCAUGUGCUGCUGCUCCUGGACUAGUAGUCAGAUCAUUUGAUAGCUUAGAUGGCAAUUUGUGACUAUUUUCACUGUGCACUAAAAACUAUUAAAAAACAAAUUAUCUGCUGUUGUGUUGGUUUCCCACAUUGAAGCUUUUUCUUUCUCCCACACUGUAAGAAAAUGUUCAGGGAAGUUUUUAAUUUAUUAAUAAGAAAGUCUGGGCCUAACAUUUCUCUUGAAAAAAGGCAAUUUCCACUUCAUCUCCCAAGUUCAACAUCAGGAGUUUUUUCACGGUAAGGUUCCAGCAUGUGUGAUUUUAUUUUUUAGGAAUGGCCCUUUACUGAUACUACAAGCGCUUAACAACUACUUAUUUUAAGUUUACUGAACUUAGACAUAAGUAAGCAACUUAUAUUUCUUAGCCUGCCUAUUUCAGUAUUUUUAGGAAGUCAGGUUACAAAUUAUUUUAAGUUGUACCAGCAAUUUUUGCAGUACUUCUACACAACCAUCAUCUGUCACUCUUUGGUUUGGGUCAGCAACCAAACAGGACAGGGACAGACUUCAACAGAUUAUCAGGACUGCGGAAAAAAAUCACAGAGGCCAACCUGCCCUCCAUCCAGGACUUAUAUCAGUCCAGGGUCAGGAAACGUGCAGGUAACAUUACUACAGACGCCUCACACCCUGGACAUACACUAUUUAAACUCCUUCCCUCUGGUAAGCAUUACAGAUCACUGUAGACCAAAACAAGGAUGGCUUCUUCCCCCGGACCGUUGGUCUGAUGAACUCCUAACGUUCACAGAGACACAGAACAACCUCUGUGCAAUAACCUGUAUACAAACAUUCACUGUGAUUGUAAAUAACAGUUUAUCAUACAACCCUUAUAAUGACAUUUAUUCACAGAAAUUCCCACAUGUUAACUGCCGACAUCAUCCUCUCAUCUGACAUGUACCUCUGCAUACCAUUAUUUAAAAUCUAAUAUUUAUUGUCAAAAGACUAUUCAAUCAAAUGUAUAUUUACCUAAUGUACAUAACCCACCUGUUAUAUAAUGACAUAUGUAUAUAUUUUUCUCACUCAACAUUCCUCUGCACUCCUCACCAUUGCAAUACUGCCUGAAAUAAUCUUGUAUACAUAAGUGAAAGGUCUAAGCUUGUAAAUUUUGUGUAAACCUUUAUACUAAAUGUAGGUACAUAGCAAAGUCUACCAGAGUCAAUGUCCUUGGAUGUGUAACAUUCUUAACCAAUAAAGCUAAUUCUGAUUCUGUAUUUUGAAAAUAUUGAAAAUAAAUCAACAUUGUUAAUCAUGA